AUUGAACGCUGGCGGAAUGCUUUACACAUGCAAGUCGAACGGCAGCACGGACUUCGGUCUGGUGGCGAGUGGCGUACGGGUGAGUAAUGUAUCGGAACGUGCCCAGUCGUGGGGGAUAACGUAGUGAAAAUUACGCUAAUACCGCAUACGAUCUAUGGAUGAAAGCGGGGGAUCGCAAGACCUCGCGCGAUUGGAGCGGCCGAUAUCAGAUUAGGUAGUUGGUGGGGUAAAGGCCCACCAAGCCAACGAUCUGUAGCUGGUCUGAGAGGACGACCAGCCACACUGGAACUGAGACACGGUCCAGACUCCUACGGGAGGCAGCAGUGGGGAAUGUUGGACAAUGGGCGAAAGCCUGAUCCAGCCAUUCCGCGUGCAGGAUGAAGGCCCUCGGGUUGUAAACUGCUUUUGUACAGAACGAAAAGGUUUCUACUAAUACUAGGAGCUCAUGACGGUACUGUAAGAAUAAGCACCGGCUAACUACGUGCCAGCCGCCGCAGUAA
This 500-nucleotide ribosomal RNA is filed under the name uncultured bacterium. Its description in RNAcentral is "partial 16S ribosomal RNA". It matches the Rfam family "Bacterial small subunit ribosomal RNA", at positions 30 to 523 of the family's 1533-position model. The record is from RNAcentral.